GCUUGGCUGGCUCAGUUAGAAGAGUAUAUGACUCUUGAUCUCAGGGUUGUGAGUUCAAGUCUCACGUUGGGUC
RNAcentral lists this transfer RNA (73 nucleotides) under Felis catus (domestic cat). It matches the Rfam family "tRNA". Rfam says of the family: Transfer RNA (tRNA) molecules are approximately 80 nucleotides in length. Their secondary structure includes four short double-helical elements and three loops (D, anti-codon, and T loops). Lineage: Eukaryota; Metazoa; Chordata; Mammalia; Carnivora; Felidae. The record is from Rfam by way of RNAcentral. RNAcentral also lists the same sequence under 5 other names.